GCCGCAGUUUCCUGUGCUAAGGUAGCGCAAUAACUUGCCUUCUAAUUAAAGGAUCGUAUAAAAGGACACAUGACUUUCUUAUUUUCUCAUAUAUUUUCAAUAAACUUAACCUACAAGUAAAAAGACUUGUAUUAACAAGAAAGACGACAAGACCCUAUAGAACUUCACUAUUGUUAAACUGGGGUGGUCAACAACAAAAGCUUAUCUUCCUUAACCACACAAAGACCUGGAACUUUCAACAAAAGAACAAGUUACCUUAGGGAUAACAGAGUAAUUCCUCUCUAGACCUGUUCCAAAGAGGAGCUUUCUACCUCGAUGUUGAAUUUAAUAUUACUUCAUAAAUAAACAUUAUACAAGUAGGUCUGUUCGACCUUUAAAAUAUUACAUGAU
This 390-nucleotide ribosomal RNA is filed under the name Loxosceles rufescens. RNAcentral's name for it is "partial 16S ribosomal RNA". It matches the Rfam family "Archaeal large subunit ribosomal RNA", at positions 2007 to 2673 of the family's 2987-position model. The record is from RNAcentral. Lineage: Eukaryota; Metazoa; Arthropoda; Arachnida; Araneae; Sicariidae.